CAAACAAACCUCAUCCAUAAUGAAAGAGCCCAUCAUCCCCAGCACCAACCCUCUCCUCCAUCCUCACCCUAAACCCUAACCCUCCAUCAUAAAAACCCCAAAUCUGGUCCCCAUACCCAGCGGUCUCCACCAUCUCGGAAUCCAUCUUUGACUCUAUCCCUAAUCCCACCGCCACACCUUAAUCCAAUCGCUGAUCCCUUCAAUACGGCGCCGAUCGCAGGAGAUGAGAUCAGGAUCUCCGGGUUCAACUUUGAGACGAUUCAAGAGGAUUUGAUUCCCAGCGUACUAAUAAAAUAUUUCCAAGUUUGGUUGAUCUCCUUCUCUCUCUCUCUCGAGGUUGCCAAGUGCUUCAUCAUGCAUUGUCGGAGUGUGGGCUUGUUGGAAUUUAAGUAGCUUAUUAUAUUUGGAACCGGGUCAUCCCUUCUCAGCUACUAACUCGCUGGCGAAAUUCGUCAUCAUUCCUCUAUUUCAAACUCAAUUCACGAGUACACGUGUUUGAGAGAAUAUAAAUGAGAACUGAUCAGGAGUGGAUGUAUAAUAGACUUACACACGGACAUAGAUUCAUUAACCCUGAAUUUAUGGUUGGGGUAGAGCCAUUCAUCCAAUAUGCUUGUGAUCAACCGAGAUUUAAUGGAUGGUGAUAAAAUAAGAUGCCUAUGUCCGUAAUCAACUACAAAUCCAAGAAGAGCGGCAUCAACAAGAGUGUCAAGAAACUCUCCAAGAGCUUAAAGAAACUCGACAAGAGGUGGUUGAAAUGGGGAGGAUGCUACAAUUACUUAUAUCUCAGAAUCAAGCACCUUCUCAAAUUAAUCAAUCAGGUCAUGAUGAAGAUGUUGAUCCUACUCCACCAACUUAGUAGUUAAUGUUUUUAUCUUGUGACAUAUUUCUCGUAUUUGUUGCUUGCUUGUGAUACUUUUGAGUUUUAGUACUUGCCACUUAUAUUAGCUAUAUGUGCUUGAAGCUAUUUUGAAUAUGAAUUGUGUUGUUUUUUAA
Molecule: long non-coding RNA, 993 nt
Organism: Dioscorea cayenensis subsp. rotundata (Guinea yam)
Lineage: Eukaryota; Viridiplantae; Streptophyta; Magnoliopsida; Dioscoreales; Dioscoreaceae
Exons: 4
Source: RefSeq, a predicted model, not a curated record